UAAACCUCUCUGCCCAGGUGCCAGCUUGGUGACCUCAGGCAAACUGAAAGAAAGUCUGGAAGAGUUUAACUAAGGGACGAAUAUCUACACCAUGAGGUGUGGUAAGCACCACUCGGAGGGUGUCUUUCAAUCCAGGGGAGGAUGUAACCAACCAUUCUCUACAGCCUGCUUGGGUGAAUGUGCCCCAGGGCGAGUCACUUGUGGAAGGGCUGCUGUAUGUGCUAAGGUAAACUCUGCACUCAAUAUCCACAGCAAUACAGCAACACAGAAUAUCCACAACAAUACCACAAUACAGAAUAUCCACAGUAAUAUAGAAUAAGCACAGAAAUACAACAAUACAGAAUAUCCACAGCAAUACAGAAUAUCCACAGCAAAACAGAAUAUCCACAGCAAAACAACAAUACAGAAUAUCCACAGCAAUACAGAAUAUCCACAGCAAUACAGAAUAUCCACAGCAAAACAACAAUACAGAAUACCCACAGCAAUACAGAAUAUCCACAGCAAAACAACAAUACAGAAUAUCCACAACAAUACAGAAUAUCCACAGCAAUAUAGAAUACCCACAGCAAUACAGAAUAUCCACAGCAAAACAACAAUACAGAAUACCCACAGCAAUACAGAAUAUCCACAACAAUACAGAAUAUCCACAGCAAUACAGAAUAUCCACAGCAAUACAGAAUAUCC
This 684-nucleotide long non-coding RNA is filed under the name Homo sapiens (human). RNAcentral describes it as "HSALNT0084190". The record is from RNAcentral. Lineage: Eukaryota; Metazoa; Chordata; Mammalia; Primates; Hominidae.